RNAcentral lists this ribosomal RNA (765 nucleotides) under uncultured bacterium. Its description in RNAcentral is "bacterial SSU rRNA". It matches the Rfam family "Bacterial small subunit ribosomal RNA", at positions 81 to 869 of the family's 1533-position model. The record is from RNAcentral.
CAUUCUUCGGAAGAGUGGCGCACGGCUGAGGAACACGUGACUAACCUACCCCGGUGUGGGGGAUAACGGGUCGAAAGACUCGCUAAUCCCGCAUACGAUUCACUUCGGUGAAGGAAAGCCGUAAGGCGCACUGGGCGGGGGUCGCGUCCCAUUAGAUGGUUGGUGUGGUAAUGGCGCACCAAGUCGAUGAUGGGUCUCUGGUCAGAGAGGACGACCAGACAGAUUGGGACUGAGACACGGCCCAAACUCCUACGGGGGGCAGCAGCAAGGAAUUUUCGGCAAUGGGCGCAAGCCUGACCGAGCAACGCCGCGUGGAGGAUGACGGCUCUUGGGUUGUAAACUCCUUUUGGGGGGGACGAUAAUGACGGUACCCUCCGAAUCAGGCCCGGCUAACUACGUGCCAGCAGCCGCGGUAAUACGUAGGGGCCAAGCGUUGUCCGGAAUUACUGGGCGUAAAGCGUGGGUAGGUGGUCGGUGAUGUGCCGCGUGAAAGCGCCGGAGUAAUGCCGGUGAGGUCGCGGUAGACACACGGACUCGAGGCUCGCAGAGGAACGUGGAAUUCCCGGUGUAGUGGUGAAAUGCGUAGAUAUCGGGAGGAACACCAGUGGCGCAAGCGGCGUUCUGGGCGAGACCUGACACUGAGCCACGACGGCGUGGGGAGCAAACAGGAUUAGAUACCCUGGUAGUCCACGCAGUAAACGAUGCAUACCAGGUGUGGGAUGGCGUUCGCGUCGUUCCGUGUCGCAGCUUACGCGAUGAGUAUGC